Molecule: ribosomal RNA, 434 nt
Filed under: uncultured bacterium
Lineage: Bacteria
Description: bacterial SSU rRNA
Rfam family: Bacterial small subunit ribosomal RNA
Source: RNAcentral
GCAGUAGGGAAUAUUGGGCAAUGGAUGCAAGUCUGACCCAGCCAUGCCGCGUGCCGGAUGAAGGCCCUCAGGGUUGUAAACGGCUUUUAUUCGGGAAGAAGAGCAGGGAUGCGUCCCUGUGUGACGGUACCGAAUGAAUAAGCACCGGCUAACUCCGUGCCAGCAGCCGCGGUAAUACGGAGGGUGCGAGCGUUGUCCGGAUUUAUUGGGUUUAAAGGGUGCGUAGGUGGCUUUUUAAGUCAGUGGUGAAAUACAGCCGCUCAACGGUUGAGGUGCCAUUGAUACUGAAGAGCUUGAAACAAGUGGAGGCUGCCGGAAUGGAUGGUGUAGCGGUGAAAUGCAUAGAUAUCAUCCAGAACACCGAUUGCGAAGGCAGGUGGCUACGUUUGAUUUGACACUGAGGCACGAAAGCAUGGGGAGCAAACAGGAUUAGA